Molecule: unclassified non-coding RNA, 217 nt
Filed under: Hevea brasiliensis (rubber tree)
Lineage: Eukaryota; Viridiplantae; Streptophyta; Magnoliopsida; Malpighiales; Euphorbiaceae
Source: RNAcentral
UAUAUGAGCCCUGAACGCUUCGAUCCUGACACUUAUGGAGGAAAUUAUAAUGGCUAUGCAGCUGAUAUUUGGAGUUUGGGUCUCACCUUGUUGGAGCUUUAUUUGGGUCAUUUCCCACUUCUCACACCAGGUCAGAGACCGGAUUGGGCGACUCUGAUGUGCGCUAUCUGCUUUGGCGACCCGCCUACCUUGCCGGAGGAUGCGUCGGAGAAGUUUC